RNAcentral lists this ribosomal RNA (654 nucleotides) under Acarospora strigata. RNAcentral's name for it is "SSU rRNA". It matches the Rfam family "Bacterial small subunit ribosomal RNA", at positions 375 to 1117 of the family's 1533-position model. Lineage: Eukaryota; Fungi; Ascomycota; Lecanoromycetes; Acarosporales; Acarosporaceae. The record is from RNAcentral.
GCGAAAGCUAGUUGUAUUAUUAGUUAAUGCAAGAUCGACUACGUCGACUAAAGUUCUAGGUAGAAUAAUGAUGAUGACAAUUUUUUACCUAUAUGUCUUGACCAAGUCUCGUGCCAGCAGUCGCGGUAAUACGUGGAAGACUAGUGUUAUUCAUCUUUAUUAGGUUUAAAGGGUACCUAGACGGUAUUUCUAGCCCAAAAUAGGGUACGGAUUUACUAGAGUUUUAUGUGAGGAGGGGAGUACUCGUGGAGUAGAGAUGAAAUUUUGUUAUACUAUGAGGUAACUGGUGGCGGCGAAAGCAACCUUCUAUGUAUAAACUGACGUUGAGGGACGAAGGCUUGGGUAGCAAAUAGGAUUAGAUACCCUAGUAGUCCAAGCAGACAAUUCUGAAUGCCAUAGAUUAGAUUAUUUUUGAUCUAUAAAUGAAAGUGUAAGCAUUCCACCUUAGGAGUAAUGUGGCAACACAGGAACUGAAAUCAUUAGACCGUUUCUGAAACCAGUAGUGAAGUAUGUUAUUUAAUUUGAUGGUCCACAAAAAACCUUACCACAACUUGAAUAUUUUUUAAUUAAUACAAGCGUUGCACGGCUGUCUUCAGUUAAUGUCGUGAGAUUUUGGUUAACUCCAUUAAUUAACGUAAACCCUUACUUUAUUUC